Molecule: transfer RNA, 76 nt
Filed under: Vibrio parahaemolyticus
Lineage: Bacteria; Pseudomonadati; Pseudomonadota; Gammaproteobacteria; Vibrionales; Vibrionaceae
Description: tRNA-Gly
Rfam family: tRNA
About the family: Transfer RNA (tRNA) molecules are approximately 80 nucleotides in length. Their secondary structure includes four short double-helical elements and three loops (D, anti-codon, and T loops).
Source: RNAcentral
GCGACACUAGCUCAGUUGGUAGAGCGCAACCUUGCCAAGGUUCGGGCUCCGAGUUCGAACCUCGUGUGUCGCUCCA